CGCCAUAGCAUUGCUUCUGGUAUCCCGCGCGCAGCCGCGCCAGGGAUUCAAACGGGAAGCCGGUGCGGCCCGCCCGAACAAGGCUGGCCCAUCCCGGCGCUGCCCCCGCAACGGUAAGCGAGGAAGGACACGCAUCACGCCACUGUGCGCCAGGGUUCGCCCUGUCAUGGGAAGGCGCCUGUCCGCGAAGCCCCAGGCUUCAUCCCGCGAGCCCGGAGACCGGCCCGAGGCGAAUUCUGAAU
Molecule: non-coding RNA, 242 nt
Filed under: Herbaspirillum sp.
Lineage: Bacteria; Pseudomonadati; Pseudomonadota; Betaproteobacteria; Burkholderiales; Oxalobacteraceae
Source: RNAcentral